Molecule: long non-coding RNA, 1695 nt
Filed under: Sitophilus oryzae (rice weevil)
Lineage: Eukaryota; Metazoa; Arthropoda; Insecta; Coleoptera; Curculionidae
Description: uncharacterized LOC115878942
Source: RNAcentral
CCGGCUCCCCGGAGUGACAGCCGAAGACAGCGAAGGCAGCGUAGGAUCGCUGACCGCAAAAAGGCCGGGGAAUGCCCAUUAUGCCACCGAAAAUAGGGGGGAAGUUUGCAAGGUGUAUGGGUCUCCAUGACUGAGCCAUUUGCAGGACAGAUCUACGUCGUUGGACCAUGAGGGACUCACCGAAGUUCUCUACUCCGCUGGACCACGAGGGACUCACCGAAGCCUACAACGCCGCUGGACCACGAGGGACUCACCGAAGCCUUCAACGCCGCUGGACAACGAGGGACUCACCGAAGCCGCAACACCGUUGGAGCAAGCUCGACACGUCGAAGCUCUACACACCGCCGAAGAAAGAUCUUCGAGCUGAAGAAGACCGAAGAUAUUGCGUAUUUUAGUUAAGUUUUGCCUUUUGAAAAUAAACAUUUUGAUUUUGCGGUCGUUUUAUUUUAGUAACUUAAUCAUGAUUACGAUACAAAAGUUUAGAUUAAGACUGGACAAAUAAACAUUUGAGUCUAUGGUUGUUUUCUUUUAGAUGUAAGCAUAAUCAAAGUGAUACCAGAUCUCAGAUAUAUCAAGGUUAGAUUAAGUUUGCUCAGUAAAUAUUCGAAUUUAUCGUUGUUUUAUUAGAUUAAGUUUGGCCCAAUAAACAUUCGAAUUUGUUGUUGUUUUUAUUAGACUUUAAGAGAUAUACUGGGCGUUAGCUUAAGUUUUGGUCAAACAAAAACUGUUUUAACAGGAAGUUUCAUUUCAGCAUAGCUGACAAAAAUAUAUGUUCAUAUAUUUUUAACCGAAGUAGGGGGAGUGUAAUGAAGUUCAUAAAUUUUGGGACUCAUUUCUGGGACACCCCGUAUACUGUACUUAAAUAAUAGGGACCUUUUCUGUAAACAAGGUUAGGCAAUGUAUUUUAUUGUUAACUCAUUAUGGUAAUGAACUUCAUUAGUGUUCUUACUGUUGACUUAAGUAUGUUAGAUAUUUGAUGACCAUAUUGUAAUAGAGUUUUGAUCGGCGUUACUCGCUAUAGUUCGGUACGGCAGCCGAGAAGCUGGCCCUACCAGUACCGGUCGAGUGGAGGGGAGGGUCGUUUGAGUAUACCCUGGCAGCGAGAGCGCCAGGUAGUUAGUUGUGUGGUCGCACGUGAACAGUGAAGUUCGAGUCCGGAGUGCCCUGCCAAGUACCCUGCUGCCAGCCGCCGUUGCCGCUCUGUAGAAGGUAAGUCCAGCCGCCAAAGUGAUCGAGAGUAGGUCGUUUUCUUUUUAUUGUUAAUACGGUUUGUUUUACUGCCUUAACGCGUUAUAGAAUAAGGGAGAUAGAGAUAGUUAAAUUCGCUCCAGGUGUCUACUGUCCUACUAUAGAAGUAAAAAUACGUGCAAGGUAGAGGCAUCUUGGUCCGAAACGCGCGUACGUAAAAUUUAACCAGACUUGUAUCCGCUCAAGGUGUCUACUGUCCUACUAUAGAAGUAAAAAUACGUGCAAGGUUGAGGCAUUUUGUCCGGAUCCCGUGGACGCGAAGACCGAUUUCUUUUGGUUAAAAGGGAGACAGAUAGCGGUUAAGGUAGUACAACAAAUACACGGGCGCGAAUAUUCUUGGAGCUAAGACAGGAUCUCGUCCAAAUCCCGAGGCUGGUUCUGUAGUUCCCGUUUUCUCAUCAGGAGCGCCGUGGGAUCUCGCCGACAUCCCGAGGUGGUCCUGACCGG